CCGCAACGAGCGCAACCCUUGUCUUUAGUUAAUUUGCUAAAGAGACUGCUAGUGUAAGCUAGAGGAAGGUGGGGAUGACGUCAAAUCAUCAUGCCCUUUAUACCCUGGGCCACAAACGUGCUACAAUGGUGAAUACAAAGUGUUGCAAAACAGUAAUGUCAAGCUAAUCACAAAAAGUUCAUCUCAGUUCGGAUCGAGGGCUGCAAUUCGCCCUCGUGAAGUUGGAAUCAUUAGUAAUCGCAGAUAAGUCAUGCUGCGGUGAAUACGUUCUCGGGUCUUGUACACACCGCCCGUCAAACUAUGAGAGCCGUUAAUACCUAAAACCGUUUUGCUAACCGCAAGGAGGCGAACGUCUAGGGUAGGAAUGGUGAUUGGAGUUAAGUCGUAACAAGGUACCCCUACGAGAACGUGGGGGUGGAUCACCUCCUUUCU
Molecule: ribosomal RNA, 432 nt
Filed under: uncultured bacterial symbiont of Hodotermes mossambicus Hm17
Lineage: Bacteria
Description: bacterial SSU rRNA
Rfam family: Bacterial small subunit ribosomal RNA
Source: RNAcentral